Long non-coding RNA from Amphiprion ocellaris (clown anemonefish), 841 nucleotides. RefSeq lists it as uncharacterized. NCBI's taxonomy places the organism in Eukaryota, Metazoa, Chordata, Actinopteri, Pomacentridae. The record is from RefSeq and is a predicted model, not a curated record. The transcript has 3 exons.
CCUCGGCACAGUGGCUGCUUCAUGAGCUACAGCGCAUGUGUCGAAGCCUCGGGUAUCAGAGGACCAUCACUAUGUUGACCUGGUUUUGGAGUAAAACACGGUGGAAGCUGAAUUAGUGAGGAUGACUCCUGCUCCUGUCAUCUCUAAGCUCCUCACACAUCUUUACCUGCACAUGAGGAAAAUCACUCCUGUAGAAUGCAGAUGUUCAGAGGGAGAUGAUGCCACAUCUGGUCCAGCUGAUGGAAGGUCUUGAAGUUCUCUGACUGGCCUCGACUGAAGAUGGUCGUCUCACUGGAUUUAAGGUUCAGAUGCUCAGUAACAAACUCCACCAAUGAGCCAACAGGGAAGCUUUAGGUUUAUUAAAUGUUGCUAUGAAGGUUUCACUGUUUUUCUUUGUGAAUGCAAUGUGCUCCAACUAGGGUUGUCAAGGUUAACCGGUUUUACAAUAACCACGAUUAUAAAUAGAUAUUCGUCACAUUUUUCACAACCACGAUUAUCCGUAGAAAAGCCUCGCGAGAGGUGCAAUGCAAGAAGCGUGAGCUGCGCUGAGUGGAGAGUGGAGAGAGAGUGGCUCCUUGGCCUGUGCGCGCGCUCCUGUCUAAUCGACAUCACUGCGCGCACACACACACACACACACACACACAGAGAGAGAGAGAGAGAUAGAGAGAAUUAUAUGAUCAGUUAUGACAGAUUCUUUACUCGAAGUGUCCCUAAUAUUGUGGCCGCUGUGCGCAAUGAGGUUGCCAAGAUGGGACUGUCCGCUGCACGUGCGGUAACUGUCGGUUCCGAAGUCAGCGGUCCGGCGGCCGGGCCGCCCCGAGGACCCCCCGAGUUUCCUUCC